AUGAAUAUGAUGCCUAAAAUGAAAGUCCACACACAGCACCAGACAAGUAUCCAUAGCUAAUUCUCUUAGAACAUUCCCCGUCUAUACUUAACCCCAUAAAUCUCUUCUUUCUCCACCACUAUUUUUCUCAGUUUCUUAUUUUCUUUGUUUUUUAAAGAGAAAACUUCAUCUGAUCUGGCAGAGAAUGACAAACCUGUACACCCAACACUCUCUGAAUGGCCUUGGAGAUAGAGCGCAAAAUGGAAGACUAAGGCCCACUUGUUUAACUUUUAGAGACUGGAAUUAUGGGAUAGAAUGGGCUUCUAAGAAUGAUUAUGUAUGGAGCAUGGUAAAGGCCAAUAUGGAAAUAAAUGCAUAAUUGGACCGUGAAGGAAAUAAAAACAGGCCCUGAAUUAA
Molecule: non-coding RNA, 396 nt
Organism: Heterocephalus glaber (naked mole-rat)
Lineage: Eukaryota; Metazoa; Chordata; Mammalia; Rodentia; Bathyergidae
Source: RefSeq, a predicted model, not a curated record